AAGUCGUAACAAGGUUUCCGUAGGUGAACCUGCGGAAGGAUCAUUACUGGAUCUUAGGCAUACAACUGUGAACUGUCGCCGCGAGGCGUUAUACUUACUCGUCUAUGAAUGUGUUGACAUACAAAAAAUAACUUUCAGCAACGGAUCUCUUGGCUCUC
RNAcentral lists this unclassified non-coding RNA (158 nucleotides) under air metagenome. Its description in RNAcentral is "partial contains small subunit ribosomal RNA, internal transcribed spacer 1, and 5.8S ribosomal RNA". The stretch from base 1 to 46 matches the Rfam family "Eukaryotic small subunit ribosomal RNA", at positions 1786 to 1831 of the family's 1831-position model. The record is from RNAcentral.